AUAUAGGUCUCGAAAUUAUAAUCGAUUGUGUGUAUGUCAAAAUGCAUAACUUUAGCAUACUGAUUCUUUUAGCCACCGUUUGGUUCGGGAUUAAGUAAAAACUUGUUAUUCCAGGGAUAAAGUUAAAUUCAGAGUUAAAGUGAGGUUAGAGUAAUUUUAUGUUUGGUUGAGAAUUGGGUUUAGUCCAGAUAUAGAUAAAAUAAUGUUUGAUUGGAGUAGGUGGGAUAAAAAGGAUAGUGGGUAAAAUAGUAUUUUGUUUGGUUGGAGUAGUGAGGUGGGGUGAGAUUAGCUAACCCCACCUCCCAAAUUGGGUGUUUGAAAAUAACUUCGGGGUUAAGGGGUUAUUCCACCCCUUAACCCCGAACCAAACGGGUGCUUAUAAAUCAAAUAAUGAUUGUUUCUAUAUCACUAUUUUUCAUAUUUAUUUGAUUUCAAAAGGAUAAACUUCUACAAAUUAUAGUU
This 462-nucleotide long non-coding RNA is filed under the name Ananas comosus (pineapple). RNAcentral's name for it is "long non-coding RNA (ACOM_LNC010928)". Lineage: Eukaryota; Viridiplantae; Streptophyta; Magnoliopsida; Poales; Bromeliaceae. The record is from RNAcentral.